CGAGCGGCGGACGGGUGAGUAACGCGUAGGAAUCUGCCCAAUAGUGGGGGAUAGCCCGGGGAAACUCGGAUUAAUACCGUAUACCUCCUUCGGGAGAUAGAAGGCCUCUCUUUGAAGCUUUCGCUACUAGAUGAGCCUGCGUAAGAUUAGCUUGUUGGUGGGGUAAUGGCCUACCAAGGCGAUGAUCUGUAGCUGGUCUGAGAGGAUGAUCAGCCACACUGGAACUGAGACACGGUCCAGACUCC
This 245-nucleotide ribosomal RNA is filed under the name uncultured bacterium. Its description in RNAcentral is "partial 16S ribosomal RNA". It matches the Rfam family "Bacterial small subunit ribosomal RNA", at positions 92 to 339 of the family's 1533-position model. The record is from RNAcentral.